Molecule: small nucleolar RNA, 77 nt
Filed under: Sphenodon punctatus (tuatara)
Lineage: Eukaryota; Metazoa; Chordata; Lepidosauria; Sphenodontia; Sphenodontidae
Description: Small nucleolar RNA SNORD53/SNORD92 (ENSSPUG00000006319.1)
Rfam family: Small nucleolar RNA SNORD53/SNORD92
About the family: U53 is a member of the C/D class of snoRNA which contain the C (UGAUGA) and D (CUGA) box motifs. Most of the members of the box C/D family function in directing site-specific 2'-O-methylation of substrate RNAs. The human orthologue HBII-316 (SNORD92) is predicted to guide the 2'O-ribose methylation of 28S rRNA A3846.
Source: Rfam by way of RNAcentral
GUGCUGUGAUGACUCCCAUCUUGGUUUCGCUUGUUGCUGAAUUCCAAUGAAGACAUCUCUCUUGGCUGUCUGAGCAU